Molecule: long non-coding RNA, 2805 nt
Organism: Nerophis ophidion (straightnose pipefish)
Lineage: Eukaryota; Metazoa; Chordata; Actinopteri; Syngnathiformes; Syngnathidae
Exons: 3
Source: RefSeq, a predicted model, not a curated record
CUCUGUGUGUCUUUGGGAGAGUGGGCGUGUUUUGGGCGUAGGCUUGGCUCCAGCUCUCAGCCUGACACAGCUGAUCCCAGCACCCUAAUCACUCACCUGCCUGCCAUCAACUCAUCACCUGCAGCCUACAAAUGUUUGGACUCCACUCGGCGCGAUUGCCAGAUCGUUUCACCUUGCUACAUGUGUUCCCUACUUGCCGUGUGUGCCUGCCUCAGCCUGCUAGCCUCGGCCUGCUAGCCACAGCCUGCUAGCCUCAGCCUGCUAGCCUCAGUGUGCUCUCCUGGACUGCAAAGCCUAGGACUACAAGCUGCCUCCUUUUCCCUCAGGCCUGGCCCCGCUAAGGAGUCUCCUAGCUAACUCCGCCUCGGCCGCCAACGCCUCUGGAGGAAACAUCUGGAAGAGACGGGCAGACGAGGGAGCGGCCCGGAAACCUGCUGCCGUAAAAUCUUGGAUUAUGGAUGGAGAUACGUGGAAGCCGCAGAAAGGGAAUGGCUGGCAUUCAACAUGGGGAAAUGGUGAAAAACUAACUGAAAUGCUAACAGUUAGCACGCUAGCCUUAUAGCGUCAUUUAACAAAAAACACAACUCAUAGUUGUAAAGCUAGCAUGUUAACUGUUAGCAUGCGUGAAGUACUAGAAUUUACGACUCUGCGGUGUUGACCUACAGAAUGAUCAAAAAUAAAGCUAACAUGCUAACAGUUAGCACAUGUCAAGUACCAAAAUAUCAAAGUACCAAAAUCUAUGACUCUGUGGUGUUGAGCUGAAAAAUUACCUAAAAAAGCUACUUUUGAUAUUCUACGUAUGCUAACAGAAGCGGAACUGAAAUAUUAACAGUUAUCGCGUUAGCCUUAUAGCGUUAUUUAACGAAAAACACAAAUCAGAGUUGUAAAGCUAGCAUGUUAACUGUCAGCAUGCGUUAAGUACCAGAAUUUCCGACUCUGUGGUGUUGACCUACAGAAUAAUCAAAAAUAAAGCUAACAUGCUAAAAGUUAGCACGUGUCGAGUACCAAAAUAUAUGACUCUGUGGUGGUGACCUGCAAAAUUACCGAAAAAAGCCAGUUUUGAUACUCCACGCAUGCUAACAGAAGCCGAACUGAAAUGUUAACAGUUAGCACGUGGUGUCAUUCAAAAGAAAACUUAACCCAUUGUUGUAAGGUUAGGAUGUUAACUGUUAGAUUGCGCAAAGUACCAAAAUUUAUGACUCUGAGGUGUUGACCUACAGGAUAAAAAAAAGGUAGCAUGCUAACAAUAAGCCUGUGUCGAGUACCAAAAUAUGACUCGGUGUGUCAAAUACCUAAAAAAGCUAGUUUUUAUACUCUACGCAUGCUAACAGAAGCGGAACUGAAAUAUUAACAGUUAGCACGUGGUGUCAUUCAAAAGAAAACUUAACCCAUUGUUGUAAGGUUAGGAUGUUAACUGUUAGAUUGCGCAAAGUACCAAAAUUUAUGACUCUGAGGUGUUGACCUACAGGAUAAAAAAAAGGUAGCAUGCUAACAAUAAGCCUGUGUCGAGUACCAAAAUAUGACUCGGUGUGUCAAAUACCUAAAAAAGCUAGUUUUUAUACUCUACGCAUGCUAACAGAAGCGGAACUGAAAUAUUAACAGUUAGCACGCUAGCCUUAUAGCGCCAUUUAACGAAAAACACAACUCGUGGUUGUAUAGCUAGCUCUUUAACUGUUAGCAUGCGUGAAGUACCAGAAUUUACAACUCUGCGGUGUAGACCUACAGAAUGAUCAAAAAUAAAGCGAACAUGCUAACAGUUAGCACAUGUCAAGUACCAUUAUAUCCAUGUACCAAAAUGUAUGACUCUGUGGUGUUGACCAGCAAAAUUACCUAAAAAAGCCAGUUUUGAUACUCCACGCAUGCUAACAAACGCCUAACUGUAAGGUUAAAAGUUAGCACGCUAGCCAUAAAGCGUUGUUUAACAAAAAACACAACUUGUGGUUGUAAAACUAGCAUGUUAACUGUCAGCAUGCGUGAAGUACCAGAAUUUACGACUCUGCGGUGUUGACUUAGAGAAUGAUCAAAAAUAAAGCGAGCAUGCAAACAGUAAGCCUGUGUCGAGUACCAAAAUAUAUGACUCUGUGGUGUAGACCUGCAAAAUUACCUAAAAAAGCUAAUUUUGAUACUUCACGCAUGCUAACAGAAGCAAAACUGAAAUGUUAACUGUAAGCACGUGGUGUCAUUCAAAAGAAAACUUAACCCAUUGUUGUAAGGCUAGGAUGUUAACUGUUAGAUUGCGCAAAGUACCAAAAUUUAUGACUCUGCGGUGUUGACCUACAGAAUUAAAAAAAGGUAGCAUGCUAACAGUUAGCCCGUGUCGAGUACCAAAAUAUGACUCGGUGUGUCAAAUACCUAAAAAAAAUUGUUUUGAUACUCUAUGCAUGCUAACAGAAGCGGAACUGAAAUAUUAACAAUUAGUAUGCUAGCCUUAUAGCGCCAUUUAACGAAAAACACAACUUGUGGUUGUAUAGCUAGCUUGUUAACUGUUAGCAUGCGUGAAGCACCAGAAUUUACGACUCUGCAGUGUUGACCUACAGAAUGAUCAAAAAUAAAGCGAGCAUGCUAACAGUUAGCACAUGUCAAGUACCAAAAUAUCCAAGUACCAAAAUAUAUGAGUCUGUGGUGUUGACCUGCAAAAUUACCUAAAAAACCCAGUUUUGAUAAUCCACACAAGCUAACAGAAGCCGAACUGAAACGUUAAGAGUUAGCACGCUAGCCAUUAAGCGUUGCUUAAAAAAACACACAAGUCGUGGUUGUAAAGCUAGCAUGUUAACCGUCAGCAUGCAUGGAGUACCAGAAUUUACG